GUAUGGCUGUUCGCCAUUUAAAGUGGUACGUGAGCUGGGUUUAAAACGUCGUGAGACAGUUUGGUCCCUAUCUUUCGUGGGCGUAGGAUAUUUGAGAGGCUCUGUUACUAGUACGAGAGGACCGUAAUGGACGAACCUCUGGUGUUCCAGUUGUCGCGCCAGCGGCAUAGCUGGGUAGCUAUGUUCGGAAAGGAUAACCGCUGAAAGCAUCUAA
RNAcentral lists this ribosomal RNA (214 nucleotides) under Pseudo-nitzschia fraudulenta. Its description in RNAcentral is "partial Bacterial large subunit ribosomal RNA". It matches the Rfam family "Bacterial large subunit ribosomal RNA", at positions 2571 to 2784 of the family's 2925-position model. The record is from RNAcentral. Lineage: Eukaryota; Bacillariophyta; Bacillariophyceae; Bacillariales; Bacillariaceae.